UGUCUUUUUGAUUAUAAUUUAAGGUUUAAUCUGCUCAAUGAUUAUUUAAAUUGCCGCAGUAUUUUGACUGUGCAAAGGUAGCAUAAUAAUUAGUUUCUUUAUUGGGAACUGGAAUGAAUGAUUGGACGAGAAAAUUUCUGUCUCUUUAUUAUUUUAAUUGAAUUUUACUUUUAAGUUAAAAGGCUUAAAUUUUAUUAGAGGACGAGAAGACCCUAUAGAGUUUAAUUUUUAUUUAAAUAAUUAUUUUUAGUAUUUAUAUAUAUUAUUUAAAUAAAAAUUUAGUUGGGGUGACUAAAAGAUAAGAAUAACUCUUUUAAUUUUUAUCAAUUAUUUUUGAUUAUAAAAUCUUUAUUUUUAAUUUUAAAAUAAAUUACCUUAGGGAUAACAGCGUAAUUCUUUUUUAAAGUUCUUAUUAAAAGAAGAGUUUGCGACCUCGAUGUUGGAUUAAAAUUAAUUUUAGGUGUAGAAGCUUGAAAAUUAAGUCUGUUCGACUUUUAAAAUUUUACAUGAUCUGAGUUUAAACCGGUGUGAGCCAGGUUGGUUUCUAUCCUUAAUUAUAUAUUAUAC
RNAcentral lists this ribosomal RNA (567 nucleotides) under Pteroptyx tener. Its description in RNAcentral is "partial large subunit ribosomal RNA". It matches the Rfam family "Bacterial large subunit ribosomal RNA", at positions 1824 to 2661 of the family's 2925-position model. Lineage: Eukaryota; Metazoa; Arthropoda; Insecta; Coleoptera; Lampyridae. The record is from RNAcentral.